GGCGAACGCUGGCGGCGUGCCUAAUACAUGCCAGUCGAGCGGACGAUUCGAAAGCUUGCUUUUGAAUCGUUAGCGGCGGACGGGUGAGUAACACGUGGGCAACCUGCCCUGUAGACGGGGAUAACACCGAGAAAUCGGUGCUAAUACCGGAUAACACGAAAUGUCGCAUGACGUUUCGUUGAAAGGCGGCACAAGCUGCCGCUACAGGAUGGGCCCGCGGCGCAUUAGCUAGUUGGUGAGGUAACGGCUCACCAAGGCGACGAUGCGUAGCCGACCUGAGAGGGUGAUCGGCCACACUGGGACUGAGACACGGCCCAGACUCCUACGGGAGGCAGCAGUAGGGAAUCUUCCGCAAUGGACGAAAGUCUGACGGAGCAACGCCGCGUGAGCGAAGAAGGCCUUCGGGUCGUAAAGCUCUGUUGUUAGGGAAGAACAAGUAACGUAGUAACUGACGUUACUAUGACGGUACCUAACGAGAAAGCCACGGCUAACUACGUG
RNAcentral lists this ribosomal RNA (498 nucleotides) under uncultured bacterium. RNAcentral's name for it is "partial 16S ribosomal RNA". It matches the Rfam family "Bacterial small subunit ribosomal RNA", at positions 28 to 507 of the family's 1533-position model. The record is from RNAcentral.